AGGACGAACGCUGGCGGCGUGCUUAACACAUGCAAGUCAAGGGGGCCCAGCAAUGGGCAACCGGCGAACGGGUGCGUAACACGUGAGCAACCUACCGAAAUGUGGGGGAUAGCCGGCCUAACGGCCGAGUAAUACCGCAUACGCUCUCGAUGAGGCAUUUCAUUGAGAGGAAACCUACGGGACAUUUCGAGGGGCUCGCGGCCUAUCAGCUAGUUGGAGAGGUAACGGCUCACCAAGGCAACGACGGUAGCUGGUCUGAGAGGAUGGCCAGCCACAUUGGGACUGAGAUACGGCCCAGACUCCUACGGGAGCAGCAGUGGGGAAUCUUGCGCAAGUGG
Molecule: ribosomal RNA, 338 nt
Filed under: uncultured soil bacterium
Lineage: Bacteria
Description: bacterial SSU rRNA
Rfam family: Bacterial small subunit ribosomal RNA
Source: RNAcentral